Molecule: ribosomal RNA, 470 nt
Filed under: uncultured bacterium
Lineage: Bacteria
Description: bacterial SSU rRNA
Rfam family: Bacterial small subunit ribosomal RNA
Source: RNAcentral
GGAUUAGGCAUGCAAGUCGUACGGGCCGCAAGGCCAGUGGCGCAAGGGUGAGUAAGGCGACGGCAACCAACCCCGUGACUGGGCAUAGCCGUGGGAAACCGCGGGUAAUUCCCAGCGACGUCCGUGGAAGGCAUCUUCCGCGGACCAAAGCUCCGGCGUCGCGGGACGGGCCGUCGUGCUAUUAGCUUGUUGGCGGGGUGACGGCCCACCAAGGCGAUGAUGGCUACCGGGCGUGCGAGCGUGGCCCGGCACACUGGGACUGAGACACUGCCCAGACUCCUACGGGAGGCUGCAGUCGAGGAUCUUCCGCAAUGGGCGAAAGCCUGACGGAGCGACACCGCGUACAGGAUGAAGGCCUUCGGGUUGUAAACUGUUGUCACGCUAUAGGAAAACCUUGGUGUUAAUAGCGCCAAGGCUGACUAAAGCGAGAGGAAGCAACGGCUAACUCUGUGCCAGCAGCCGCGGUAAUA